GGUAUGGAGUCCGCUGGUAUCCAUGAAACCGCCUACAACAGCAUCAUGAAGUGCGACAUCGACAUUCGUAAGGACCUGUAUGCA
RNAcentral lists this microRNA precursor (84 nucleotides) under Xyrichtys novacula (pearly razorfish). The record is from RNAcentral. Lineage: Eukaryota; Metazoa; Chordata; Actinopteri; Labriformes; Labridae.